Molecule: ribosomal RNA, 380 nt
Filed under: fungal endophyte
Lineage: Eukaryota; Fungi
Description: eukaryotic LSU rRNA
Rfam family: Eukaryotic large subunit ribosomal RNA
Source: RNAcentral
UGAGAGCCCCGUACAGUUGGACANCAAGCNUUUGUAAAGCUCCUUNGACGAGUCGAGUAGUUUGGGAAUGCUGCUCAAAAUGGGAGGUAUAUUUCUUCUAAAGCUAAAUACCGGCCAGAGACCGAUAGCGCACAAGUAGAGUGAUCGAAAGAUGAAAAGCACUUUGAAAAGAGGGUUAAACAGCACGUGAAAUUGUUAAAAGGGAAGCGCUUGUGACCAGACUUGCGUCCGGUGAAUCACCCAGCUCUCGCGGCUGGGGCACUUCGCCGGCUCAGGCCAGCAUCAGCUCGCUGUCGGGGACAAAAGCUUCAGGAACGUAGCUCUCUUCGGGGAGUGUUAUAGCCUGUUGCAUAAUACCCUUCGGCGGGCUGAGGUACGCG